GCGAGGGAGGAGUGUUGGAGAAGAAGACGGUGGAAGAGCAAGUGGACUGGGGGAAAGUGCCCUGGUGGAAGAGAUGAGGGGUAUGGUGGAGGAGCUGGCGGGGGGAGGGUGGUAUCUCUCCACUGCCGCCAUCACCAAAGAAGAGAAUGAAGAGGAGGGUGCGAUUGGCCGACAGUGAGAGGGAGGGGAUGGCCAAGAGAGUGAUGGGGGUGGGAGAAACCUCUGGGUUGCUGCUGGUUUCCCCAGGCCCUCAACUUCUGUUGGGUGGGGACACACAUAACAAGACUCAAGACUGGGUACAGGAGGAGGUGGGGAGUUUUUUGUUUGGGGACUCAGCCUCCCCGAUUUUUUUCCAAACCAGCUGCAGCACUGGGGAGGGGGAGGAGUGUGGGGAUAGACCCAGGGUGCAGGGCACCCCGGAGCCAAACACUAUUCCUGCAUCCUGGGUUGAUGAGAUGGAGGAAGAGGGGGGGAUGUCGGGAGUACAGAUGGUGUUCUCACCGGUAGAUAUGGAGCAGGGGAGCAUCGGGUGAGUCUCCUGUUUUUGUUUUUUUUUCUGUCUGGGUUUAGAAUUUGAGUGUAUUACAUGAUUUUAUUUUAUUUUUUCAUGGCAUCUAAUUUUACUUUUGUUAGUUUAAAUGUAAGGGGUUUAAGGGAUUUUGUUAAGAGGAGGGCGGUUUUUAGUUAUUUGGAGGUUGUGGGGUUUGAUUUUUGUUUUUUACAGGAGGUUCACCUGAGGGAUGGAGGGGAUGUUAGUAAGUUUAAGAGGGAGUGGGACAAGGGGGAGUCGGUUUGGGGUAUUGGGGGGGAUGUUAGUAAGUUUAAGAGGGAGUGGGACAAGGGGGAGUCGGUUUGGGGUAUUGGGGGGGUGCACUCAUCGGGGGUAGGGAUUUUGUGUGGGCACAGGGAGGUAAAAGUGGAGGAUUCUUUUGUGGUAAUGCAGGGGAGGGUUAUAGGGGUGGAUGUCACAAUAAGGGAUUGUAAAUUUAGAUUAGUGGUGGUGUAUGGGCCACAGGUGGUGGCAGACAGGAGGGAGAUGGUGGACUGUCUGACGCCCCUGUGUGUCACAAAUAGGAAAUUAGUGAUAGGGGGGGAUUUUAAUACAGAUUUAGGAAUAGGGGGAUAGCAGUGCAGGCGCCAUUACCAGGCUAAUGGCUUGCCAUGGUCUGGUUGAUGGUG
Molecule: long non-coding RNA, 1179 nt
Organism: Oncorhynchus tshawytscha (Chinook salmon)
Lineage: Eukaryota; Metazoa; Chordata; Actinopteri; Salmoniformes; Salmonidae
Source: Ensembl